UUUUUAAUAUGUUUUUUGCUCCACGCGAGAAACAUGCAUACGUGCGCGGAAUAUAUUGAGCGCGGUUCCUUAUUCUCGACGUUUUCGGCAAGUUUUAGCUUGCCGAUCAUACCAGCACUAAAGCACCGGAUCCCAUCAAAACUCGGAAGUUAAGCGUGUUGGGCGAGAGUAGUACUAGGAUGGGUGACCUCCUGGGAAGUCCUUGUGUUGCAUUCCC
This 217-nucleotide ribosomal RNA is filed under the name Hordeum pusillum. Lineage: Eukaryota; Viridiplantae; Streptophyta; Magnoliopsida; Poales; Poaceae. The record is from RNAcentral.